ACUCCUACGGGAGGCAGCAGUGGGGAAUAUUGCACAAUGGGGGAAACCCUGAUGCAGCCAUGCCGCGUGUGUGAAGAAGGCCUUCGGGUUGUAAAGCACUUUCAGUAGGGAGGAAGGUAGUGUAGUUAACACCUGCAUUAUUUGUACGUUACCUACAGAAGAAGCACCGGCUAACUCCGUGCCAGCAGCCGCGGUAAUACGGAGGGUGCGAGCGUUAAUCGGAAUUACUGGGCGUAAAGCGCAUGCAGGCGGCCUGUUAAGUCAGAUGUGAAAGCCCGGGGCUUAACCUCGGAAUUGCAUUUGAAACUGGCAGGCUAGAGUCUUGUAGAGGGGUUAGAAUUUCAGGUGUAG
RNAcentral lists this ribosomal RNA (351 nucleotides) under uncultured bacterium. RNAcentral's name for it is "bacterial SSU rRNA". It matches the Rfam family "Bacterial small subunit ribosomal RNA", at positions 335 to 678 of the family's 1533-position model. The record is from RNAcentral.